GAUGAAGAACGUAGUAAAAUGCGAUAAGUAGUGUGAAUUGCAGAAUUCAGUGAAUCAUCGAAUCUUUGAACGCACAUUGCGCCCCUUGGUAUUCCAUGGGGCAUGCCUGUUCGAGCGUCAUCUACACCCUCAAGCUCUGCUUGGUGUUGGGCGUCUGUCCCGCCCCCGCGCGUGGACUCGCCCCAAAUCCAUUGGCAGCGUUCCUUGCCCCCUCUCGCGCAGCACAUUGCGCUUCUCGAGGGCGGCUCCGGGACGCGAUCCAGCAAGAUGACCACCGUCUUUGACCUCGGAUCAGGUAGGGAUACCCGCUGAACUUAAGCAUAUCAAUAAGCGGAGGA
RNAcentral lists this unclassified non-coding RNA (338 nucleotides) under soil metagenome. RNAcentral describes it as "partial contains 5.8S ribosomal RNA, internal transcribed spacer 2, and large subunit ribosomal RNA". The stretch from base 1 to 120 matches the Rfam family "5.8S ribosomal RNA", at positions 35 to 154 of the family's 154-position model. The record is from RNAcentral.